GAUUGGAUAGUGCGGGACCGUUUGGGGCCGGUCAGGGCUCCAGAGCGGCAGGUCCACAGGUGUCCAGAGGCCCCAGCCAGCCCAGACCACCUAGGCCCCGUUGUUCUCAUUGCGGGAAGUCUCAUCCAGGGGAGUGUUAUCGAGCUACAGGAGCUUGUUUUACGUGCGGCGGUCAGGGCCAUUUUAUGAGAGAUUGUCCGUUGGCCAGCGGUUCCGGUAGUGUGGCUCAGCCGACAGGGUCAGCCGCCGGUUCAUCAUCUGCUCCAUCUGUUGCACGCCCUGCAGGGCGAGGUGUGCCGACAUCGGCGGGACGCGGUCGAGGCCGCGGUGGCGUUGCAGGUUCUAGCGGUCCUUCGAACCGCAUAUAUGCUUUGGCCAGCCGCCAGGAUCAGGAGGCUUCGCCAAACGUCGUCACAGGUACAGACAUUGGUGAUCCCCCAUUGUAGGCUCCACUUUUCUGCUAUCUCGGAGUACUCCUACUUGAUCCGGAGUCCACUUCUGGUAUAGACAUCUGUUGCUGUAUAUAUUUUGUAUAUUUGGCUGUUUGGGUACGGCGGGGCCCUGUCCCGCCAUAUGAUUCUGUCGGUCUGUUAGAGGUCUGUGGACAGGGUUGUGGGUUAUGGUCCUUAGGUAUGGUUAUGUGAACAUGUCGUUGUGCGAUUCUCAUAUACUGAGGCGGCCAGUCCGCAUGUUUUGAUUAGGCGAUUCUAUACGCCGAGGCGGCCAGUCCGCGUUUGAUAUAUGUAUAUAUAUAUUGUCCUGUUAGCCCUGAGUGGCUUUUGUUGGUA
Long non-coding RNA from Lycium barbarum (goji berry), 788 nucleotides. RefSeq lists it as uncharacterized. The record is from RefSeq and is a predicted model, not a curated record. NCBI's taxonomy places the organism in Eukaryota, Viridiplantae, Streptophyta, Magnoliopsida, Solanales, Solanaceae. The transcript has 2 exons.